RNAcentral lists this ribosomal RNA (339 nucleotides) under uncultured bacterium. RNAcentral's name for it is "bacterial SSU rRNA". It matches the Rfam family "Bacterial small subunit ribosomal RNA", at positions 29 to 363 of the family's 1533-position model. The record is from RNAcentral.
AGUGAACGCUGGCGGCGUGCUUAACACAUGCAAGUCGAACGAGAACGGAUUAUAGCUUGCUAUAAUUGUCAGCUAAGUGGCGCACGGGUGAGUAAUAUAUAGGUAACGUGCCCCAAAGAAGAGGAUAACAGAUGGAAACGUCUGCUAAGACUCUAUAUGCCUUUAUGACAAAGUCAGCAAGGGAAUAUUUAUAGCUUUGGGAUCGGCCUGUACAGUAUCAGUUAGUUGGUGAGGUAAUGGCUCACCAAGACAAUGACGCUUAACUGGUUUGAGAGGAUGAUCAGUCACACUGGAACUGAGACACGGUCCAGACUCCUACGGGAGCAGCAGUGGGGAAUA